UGACCUCGGAUCAGGUAGGGAUACCCGCUGAACUUAAGCAUAUCAAAAGCCCGAGGGAA
Molecule: ribosomal RNA, 59 nt
Filed under: Morchella conica
Lineage: Eukaryota; Fungi; Ascomycota; Pezizomycetes; Pezizales; Morchellaceae
Description: partial 28S ribosomal RNA
Source: RNAcentral